GGAAAAUGGGAGCCAGUAACUUAGAUCAGUGUCUCUUCAGACUCCAUCACUAAUUACAUUGUGUGACAUUUUAGGAGCUCUCUGCUGAGCAAGUACCUAGUACUUGUGUAUUGCAAACAGACAGGCUCUUUCCUCUAAAGUCUGAGCCACUAAGAAGCAUCUCUCCUGUUGCUAUAAAGACAGGAAGCCCAGCCCUCGUAGAAGAAAGCACAAUGCAGAUACGCAAUUGUUUCUUGGUGAUUAUGCUUUGGGAUUAGUUCUAGGAUCCCCGCGGAUGCUGAAGACUCCUAUGUGAGAUUUAUUAUAUAAGUAUUGGCAUUCUACCUACGCACUUCCUCCUGUGUGCUUUAUCUCUAGAUUACUUAUAACACCAAGCACCGAGUUAGUCUAUGUAAAUAGCUAUUUUUAUUAUUUCGAGAAUGGUGCCCAGAGAAAAAGUCGGCGUAUAUUCAGGAGAGACGUAGCCAUGGUAGGCCUGGGUUCGUGGUCCACGGCAGGUACAACACAACAUUUUCCCCCAGUAUUUUUGAUCCAAAGUUGGCUAAAGCCAGAGCCGAGAAAACUGGAAACGAAAGGCAGCUGCCCAGAGGAAGGGUCAGUUGGCGGCUAAGAGAUUAAAUUCACAGACUCGUUUUUCUUACUCUACGUUCACAGCACAGAUUACUUUUGUAAUAACAGAAGUUGGGCUUUCUUUGCACCAACAAGCAAGCUCCCACUUGUACAGUAGGGGAUGCCAGCUGAGCUUCCUUGGGUCCAGUUCAGUUCCGCCCGUGGAAACCUGGACGUAGAGCUGAUCACACAGGUCUGAAGCUCAGUUCCCCUCUUCCUUCCGCUGCCUCCAGAUGCCAGCCACACGCCUAGGUGUUUCCACCUGGGCUUCUCACCGGCCUGCCGUGACUGACAACCUCCUCCUCUCCGUGUUCAUUGAUUUGCUUCGUCUGAUCACAGAACGGCAGGAAAACACACUCAUGAAUGAACUGGCAAGGACAUCAAGGGCACCAUGAGGAGAUGCGGAGCCAGGGGUGGGAGAGGCCACGCCCUUCCUUAGUGCCUUACCCGGCCCUGCGGGAGUCCCCAUGUUCUCCUCCCAGAUGCCCUCCAGGCCUUGUCUCUGUGGGUUUCAGAGAAGACUUCAUUCGUAGGUGGGACUGCAGCACGGAGGACGGUGUGACUGUGAUCGGAGGGAAAGAACUUGAUCUAAUGCCGAUAGACAGGAAGACAGCCAGGCCUCUUGCUACAGAUGUUCUGGCCUCUUGUACAGCACUCCUUUCGCAGAUGCAGAAAGGACUCCUUCUGAAAUAGGGAUCUUAUCAUCAGAGAAUCUGCAGACAGUCUUAAGACCAAAGUAGGCUAUACUGAAUUUCCGUCACAGUUGACUGCCUUCAGACCACAGGCAGCUAUGAAAGAACAAAAAAGGAUGUUCCUUCUGAAAACGGUGUCUACCCUUUUAACCAUCUGACUAACAUAUGUACAGAUGUCCAGACCUCACCUCAUACCUGGGGGCAUCUUCUGGCAGUGUCUCACUACGUCUUUCAAGCUGGAUUGAACUCACUAUGUAGCUCAGGCUGGCCUCAAACUCUCAGCGAUCCUCCUGCCUCUGCCUCCCAGGUGCUGGGAUUACAGGUGUGCACCAUCACAUCUGGCUGGUUCAACUUUAUUAUGAUGUAACAGCAGUAAACACUCAACAGAAACCACACUUCCAAUGUUUUCUUCCUUGCCUCUCACACUCCCUCCUUUUUUUUUUCCUCUUUAUG
Fukomys damarensis (Damara mole-rat) is the source of this 1754-nucleotide long non-coding RNA. RefSeq lists it as uncharacterized. The record is from RefSeq and is a predicted model, not a curated record. Lineage: Eukaryota; Metazoa; Chordata; Mammalia; Rodentia; Bathyergidae. The transcript has 4 exons.